This 492-nucleotide ribosomal RNA is filed under the name uncultured bacterium. RNAcentral describes it as "partial 16S ribosomal RNA". It matches the Rfam family "Bacterial small subunit ribosomal RNA", at positions 29 to 507 of the family's 1533-position model. The record is from RNAcentral.
AGUGAACGCUGGCGGUAGGCCUAACACAUGCAAGUCGAACGGCAGCACAGUAAGAGCUUGCUCUUACGGGUGGCGAGUGGCGGACGGGUGAGGAAUACAUCGGAAUCUACUUUUUCGUGGGGGAUAACGUCGGGAAACUUACGCUAAUACCGCAUACGACCUACGGGUGAAAGCAGGGGAUCUUCGGACCUUGCGCGAUUGAAUGAGCCGAUGUCGGAUUAGCUAGUUGGCGGGGUAAAGGCCCACCAAGGCGACGAUCCGUAGCUGGUCUGAGAGGAUGAUCAGCCACACUGGAACUGAGACACGGUCCAGACUCCUACGGGAGGCAGCAGUGGGGAAUAUUGGACAAUGGGCACAAGCCUGAUCCAGCCAUACCGCGUGGGUGAAGAAGGCCUUCGGGUUGUAAAGCCCUUUUGUUGGGAAAGAAAAGCAGCAGGUUAAUACCCCGCUGUGCUGACGGUACCCAAAGAAUAAGCACCGGCUAACUUCGUG